Molecule: long non-coding RNA, 695 nt
Organism: Oncorhynchus keta (chum salmon)
Lineage: Eukaryota; Metazoa; Chordata; Actinopteri; Salmoniformes; Salmonidae
Exons: 4
Source: RefSeq, a predicted model, not a curated record
ACAUUACUGUAGAGGUCAAUGGUGAACCACUUCAGCCACCCAGACUGAAUAGAGCCCUUAGUGUCAGACAUUACUGUAGAGGUCAAUGGUGAACCACUUCAGCCACCCAGACUGAAUAGAGCCCUUAGUGUCAGACGUUACUGUAGAGGUCAAUGGUGAACCACUUCAGCCACCCAGACUGAAUAGAGCCCUUAGUGUCAGACGUUACUGUAGAGGUCAAUGGUGAACCACUUCAGCCACCCAGACUGAAUAGAGCCCUUAGUGUCAGACAUUACUGUAGAGGUCAAUGGUGAACCACUUCAGCCACCCAGACUGAAUAGAGCCCUUAGUGUCAGACAUUACUGUAGAGGUCAAUGGUGAACCACUUCAGCCACCCAGACUGAAUAGAGCCCUUAGUGUCAGACGUUACUGUAGAGGUCAAUGGUGAACCACUUCAGCCACCCAGACUGAAUAGAGCCCUUAGUGUCAGACGUUACUGUAGAGGUCAAUGGUGAACCACUUCAGCCACCCAGACUGAAUAGAGCCCUUAGUGUCAGACAUUACUGUAGAGGUCAAUGGUGAACCACUUCAGCCACCCAGACUGAAUAGAGCCCUUAGUGUCAGACAUUACUGUAGAGGUCACAAGGAACCACUUCAGCCACCCAGACUGAAAUAGAGCCCUUAGUGUCAGACGUUACUGUAGAGGUCAAUGGUGA